Molecule: long non-coding RNA, 842 nt
Filed under: Arachis ipaensis
Lineage: Eukaryota; Viridiplantae; Streptophyta; Magnoliopsida; Fabales; Fabaceae
Description: long non-coding RNA (AIPA_LNC001722)
Source: RNAcentral
UUUAAUAUUUACGGUGUUGUGAAAACUUAGGUUAGAGGAACCAUAGAAUAAGUUGGAUUGUUUGUUGUAUUUAAUGAUUAGCCUUGUAAUGUUGUUAGAAUAGAUUUGUUAGUGAAUUUAUAUAUUAGAAUUAUGAGGUGUGAAAGCUAUUAAUGGUGUGCUCUUAUAUUUAUUUAUGAUGGAUUAGAAUUGGUAUUUGUUAAUAAGGAUGUAGAGUUGUGUUGUGGUGGUAUUGUAUAUGCUGUAACUAAUUAUGUAAUGAUCGGAAUUGCAUGAGACCAAGUUUGGGAUAAACUUGGGAAUAUAAGGAACUAAACUGGAAAUUUUGGGACCUUUUUGUUAAAUAUACAAUUUAUGGCAAAUUUUUAAAGUUAGAUUGUUAAAUCUGUCCAGCAGCAGAAAAGAUCAAACAGGCAGCAACUUGUUUGUCUUGCUGCGACUUUUACGAGUUGAGUUUUGGAGCGAAACCAAUUUUGUUAUAAAAUUUGAUUAACUUUCUUUAGUUCUCUAAAAUUUCAGAAUUUUAAGAGUUGAGGAUUGGGAGCUGUGAAUUUUUGAAUAUUGGUGGUCAAAACUAAAAAGAAACAGAUUUCAGCAAACUAUGCAUCAACUUCCAAUGCUUGUAACUCUUAGAAUUAAAUAGAAAUUGGGUUGCAACCAAGACACACUUGUUUUUAGAUGAGCUAGGGGUUCUCAAAUCAAAAUUUAGCUUAAUUGGAGUUUUGUAAUAAAAGUUAUUCCAAUUGAAAGGUACUAAGCUUGUUGGUUUUUAAAACAGGUUUUGUCUCAUUUUUACUUAACUUCCAGGUAAUGUAACUUUUUCAUUAAAAAUGGUAUUGACA